UCCCUGGUGGUCCAGUGGUUAGGACUCAGGGCCUUCACUGCUGCAGCCCCAGGGUUCAACCCCUGGCCCGGGAA
Molecule: non-coding RNA, 74 nt
Organism: Sus scrofa (pig)
Lineage: Eukaryota; Metazoa; Chordata; Mammalia; Artiodactyla; Suidae
Source: Rfam